This is a long non-coding RNA of Lampris incognitus (smalleye Pacific opah), 141 nucleotides long. RefSeq lists it as uncharacterized. The transcript has 3 exons. NCBI's taxonomy places the organism in Eukaryota, Metazoa, Chordata, Actinopteri, Lampriformes, Lampridae. The record is from RefSeq and is a predicted model, not a curated record.
AGGCACGGAUGCAAUCCCAUCAGAUUCUGAAUGAGGAUGGAUAAUUGAGGAACGCAUAAAUCAGAGUGUAAUAGAGAUGGCUGAACAUCUGAUGUCCUCUGGGCCACCUGGUGUGAAGAUAUGUCUUGAAGAAAUUAAAAG